RNAcentral lists this long non-coding RNA (6525 nucleotides) under Nicotiana tabacum (common tobacco). Its description in RNAcentral is "long non-coding RNA (NTAB_LNC001360)". Lineage: Eukaryota; Viridiplantae; Streptophyta; Magnoliopsida; Solanales; Solanaceae. The record is from RNAcentral.
CACAUAAGGUUUUAGUAUUGUUUUCCCCCUCUGUCGUCUCUCUCACUCCACGCACAGAGAGUUUUCACUCCAUUCCCAGGUAAGUCGACCCCUCUUUCUCUCUCUCUCUCACACACUCACUCACCCGAUCGAUCUCCUCUUUUUGUUUUUGAUUUCCCAAAAAACUUCGAGUUUUAGGGAUUUUAUACUGUUUCAAACCCUAGGUUUAAAAAAUUAGUGUUUUUCUCUUGAUUUUAUAGUGUUUCAACCCACCUAAAAGGGGCUUACAGUCUUCAAGAUCCAGCAUUGAUGUAAACGCCAGUCGGGGCAAAGUUUUCGACCAUCAUUAACAUAUUAUAACCUGAGUAGUUGUUGAUAUAUUUAGCUUGACAUCUAAUAUUAUUGAAAAAGUAUGCUAUACUGUAAGUCUUUUUAUUUUUUUAUUUUUUUAUUUAUGAAAUAGAUCUCUGCUGUUAGAGUAUGUGGUUUUGAUAUUUGUGUCUUGUGUGUGUUAGUGAAUUAAGUGAUGGGUGAGGAUUUGGUAGAGUAAUAAUUAUUCCUGUUUGUCUUUAAUGGAGUACUCAUUCCAUUGAUGAUCUUGAAAGUUUGGUAAAUGGUUAACUCAAAGGCUUUUUAUAAGUCUUCUAAUAUUGACUAUGGUAGGGCCUUCCUUAUAGAGUGAAGAUUACUUUGAACACAUUGAAAUUUGCUUAGAUGAGUUUCUUGUUUAUGUACGAUAAAUAUGUAUAGUUUUUCUGUAAGUUCUUAAGCAUUUGUAAUCACUACUGUUAAUCUCUUUUCUGAAUGAAGGCGUGUUUUGCUUUCUAGUCACAUUUCUCUUACUUCUUUCCUAUGAAGGGAAAUUAAUUGGUUGAAAAUGAAUAAUGUUGUUUCCUGCUGUAUGCAGAAUUAUGGCACUACUUUGGCACUCUUCAAAUGGACCUAAAGUUAUCACAACAAUUAUUGCCUAAGUAUGACCAUCCAUAACUUUACUCAAGACCAGUCCCUUAUUCACAUCCAUUUCAAAUAUCUUAGGUGCUUAUGCCUCAUUCACUUAUCUUAUGUUGCUAUAUAAGUAAUUGUUACUUAUCAUUUGUUGAGAUUAUUUAUUAUUUCAUUCUUUCAUACUUGUAUUUUGUAUUAGCCAUUAGGUAAUUAGUUAGUGUUAGUAAUUGUACAACUACUAUGAAUAGGACAUUAACUUUGUAUUUCUUUUUUUUUUCUAUGAGUAACAAUAAUCAGAUUAGCUCCUUCUUUCUAGAAGGUUCAUUUCUCUGUCUGCCUCUCUCUCUCUCUGGUUGUGCGAUCUGAUCUGCCAUUAGAGCUCAAACUGAGCUCACCUCUUCCUCUUCGACUAUCCCCUAACUUUCACAUGGUAUCAGAGUGGGAUAACAACCUGAAGUCUCAUCUCCUUUCGAUUUUUCAUUCUUCUACUCACAAAUUCAGGAAUUCACUCGUUUUUGGAAAUUAGGGUUCCUGUGUGGAAAUCGAUCAAUUAGUCAGUUAUUCCUAGCAAUUCAUCUUCACCGAUAACCAUUUCAUCCGAGUCAAUUCGAAUCAUGGUCGGAGAAGACGAAGCCCCAACAACCCUAGCGACGAACAAAACCCUAGAUUCAAUAAGUCCACUAUACAUGCAUCCAUCGGAAAGCGCUGGAUCUAUGCUAGUUCCGAUAGCCUUUGACGGAACUGGUUACAAAUCAUGGAGAAGAGGAAUCCUCAGAGCAAUCUCCAUGAAAAACAAAUUAGGGUUUAUUACCGGAAAAUGUAAGAAGCCAGAUUCUGAUUCGGCAGACCUUGAUCAAUGAGAGCGAUGCGAUGAUAUGUAACUUAAUUGAUCUUAAACUCACUGUCUAAGGACCUAGUGACAGUCUGCAAUACAUCAAUGAUGAUGAAGAGCUUUGGCAAGAGCUAGAAGACAUAUACGAUCAAACUAAUGGCGCCAAGUUGUAUCAACUACAAAAAGAGAUUAAUGAUCUGAGCCAAGGAAGCCUGGACAUCAUUAGAUAUUAUACAAAAAUUAAGAAGCUUUGGGAAGAACUUAAUACCCUGAAUGUUCAUGCCAAAUGUGCUUGUAAAUGCACCUGUGGAGCAAGAGAAAACAUUCAUAAAGCUGAACAAGAUAGAAGAUUAAUUCAGUUCCUAAUGGGGCUCAAUGAAGUGUAUACUAUUGUGAGAAUGAGUAUUCUGAUUAUGAACCCUCUCCCAACAAUAGUUCAAGCCUUCUAUAUUCUCAUUCAAGAGGAGAAACAAAGGGAAGUUAAGCCAAGUAAUAGUUUUUCAAUGGACUCUGCUGCCUUGAAUGUGAGUGGAUCAGGAAAUGACAACUUCAAAACUAACUACAAUCAACAGGGAAACAACAACACCUACCGUGGAUAUAAGGAAAACCAAUUUAACAGCAGAUCUAGACCAUUCUGUGACUACUGCAAGAGGCCAAGGCACACUAAGGACAAAUGCUACAAACUUCAUGGAUUCCCACAGAGUUCCAGGUUCAAUAAGGGAAGAAGAAUUGCUGGAAAUGUAUUUGGAUCACCAAAUGAAGCUGAUGCAGUAAAGGAUGAUGGAAAUAGCCCUCAAGAACAGGAACAGAGUUGAUACAUGCAUAGUCUGACUAAAGAACAAUAUGGCCAACUACUCACCAUUUUGGAAAGCUUUCAAGGAGGAGCAGAUAAAUCCACAAGCAAUUGCAUCAAUGGAGGAACUGUGAACUUUGCAGGUAUUUCAGCAUGCUCUACUCAUUUUGACUCUAGUGAUCAUUUGUGUGAUAGUUCUAGUUCAAAUGCUGACACUUGGAUCCUUGAUUCUGGAGCCACAAAUCACAUGACACAUAACAAAUCAAUCCUAACUAAUGUUAAAACCUUAGUUUACCCAUACCUAGUCACCCUACCAAAUGGCUACAAGGUUAAGGUGACACUGAUUGGUGAUGUAGUCCUAAGUCCAAAAUUCAGUCUCAAGAAGGUCCUUUUUGUUCCCAGUUUUAAAUUCAAUAUGAUAUCAGUCCAUUCUUUGACAGUUCAUCUUGAUUGUAUUGUAGUAUUCACCAAGUACAUUUGUAUUCUUCUACAGGGCCCUUCACUGAAGAGGCCACUGGAGAUUGGUAAAGCCAAGACUGGUUUGUAUCGACACAGUUCAAGAAACUACAACACUGGUUCAACCCUCUCUAAUUCUUCUAGUGCAUCCAUUCCAUGUUUUACUAAUAAUGAGAACAAUAUAGAUUCUGUAGUUAAGACAUCUAGCUCACUUCCUUCCUCUCAACUAGUUAGUACAAGUAAACUGGUUUCUACUGUUCCUAUUACUUCCAUCAUGGUUACCCCAUCUUAUAGUAGUAAUAAAAAUAGUUGACCUCCACAUUCAGAUUACUCUGUAAAUAGUUCAAGCAAUAAAAGUGAGUUGUCUUUGUCUAGUAAUUCCUUUACUAUAGAAUUUUUACCUGAUCUUUUGGAGCAUAACAGAUUAGGAAAUGUACCUUUUGUCAAAAUGAAGGGGAUUUCUUCUAUACUUGUUGCCUUUGCACCCAAACAACCUUUUCUUUGUCCUAUCUGUCCAAUGGCAAGACAAACCAGAUUGUCUUUCCCAGAAAGAACAACAUUGACUACCAAACCUUUUGAACUGUUACAUAUUGACUUGUGGGGCCCUUACCAUGUUACAACACAUAAUAAAUACAAAUACUUUAUUACCCUUGUGUAUGAUUACAGCAGGUCCACAUGGACCCACUUAUUAAGCUGUAAAAGCAAUGCUCUACACACCAUUAAGGCCUUUUUUGACAUGGUAGAGCAACAAUUCAAUACCAAUAUCAAAACUAUAAGAACAGACAAUGGUCUUGAGUUCACCAGCCAAGAGACCACCUCAUUCUUACAAUCAAAGGGCAUUAUACAUCAAAGGACAUAUCCAUACACACCUUAACAAAAUGGUGUGGUGGAAAGAAAACACAAAUAUUUGUUAGUAACAGCCACGGCUCUACUUUAUCAGUCAAAAUUACUCAUGUAGUAUUGGGGAGAAUGUAUUCUGACCUCUACCUACCUCAUAAACAGACUGCCCUCUUCAUCACUCAAAACAAAAUGUCCCUUUGAACUGUUGUACCAGAAAAAGCCAAGCUAUUCUCAUCUCAAAAGCUUUUGUUGUUUGUGAUUUCCUACUACUCUCAAAACACACAAAGAUAAGUUUGAGCCAAGAACUACUCCCUAUGUUUUUGUGGGAUAUCCCUUUGGGACAAAAGGCUAAAAGGUACUAAAUCUGGCCAUUAAGAAGAUAAAUGUUUCAAGAGAUGUAGUGUUUCAUGAGAAUGUAUUCCCAUUUGCCAUGUUCACUGAGUCAAACAAAGUCUUUCCUUCAUUUCCUCAAAUGAAAUCAUACCUGUCAAAUGAUUUGUUUUCUCCUAGUGAUAUAGGUAGUGUUCCACAUUCAGCAAAUGAUAAUGCUCACCAUGAAGUGUCACCUGGGAACCAGCCCAGGCAUGAGCCCUACUCACCCCCAUCUAAUCCUUAUAAUGAUAAUUCCAGAUCUUCUCACUCACCUUUGGGAAGCCAAACAUCAGGAAGCUUUCCUGUGGUUGACACUCUAGGAGAUACCUCUCCUGAUGCACCUCACAACCCAGCUGUUAUAAUCCAAGAUCAAGGAACUUCAAUUCCAAAUCAGAACAGACCCUCUAGAACUUUGAAAAUUCCUACCUAUCUUAAAGAUUAUGAGUGCACUCUUCCCAGACUCCAACAAACUCAUCAAAACCAACCAACUUCUCCAAAUGAUAGCCAAAGUACACAGUCUUUUUCCUGCAACACAUCUGCCCCUAAAUCUCUUGAUAACUUACCCAAUGAAACACAUUCCACUUGUUAGCAUUUGAUAGGAACUGGUCCACAUGAAUGUGAACCUAGCUCAUAUAAGGAAGCUGCUGUAAAGCCUGCCUGGCAAGCAGCAAUGAAUCAAGAAUUCCAAGCAUUGUAUGCAAAUAAAACCUGGGAUCUAGUUCCUCUUCCAAUUGGAAAGAAUGCAAUUGGGUGUAAAUGGGUAUAUAAGAUUAAACAUAAGGCAGAUGGUAGUGUAGAGAGAUUUAAAGCUAGAUUAGUAUUAAGGAGUAUACACAACAAGCUGGGAUAGAUUACACAGAAACAUUCUCACAUGUAGUAAAAAUGACAAUUGUUAGGACUUUAAUAGCAACAUCAGUCAAGAAGGGGUGGCAAGUCUUGCAGCUAGAUGUAAAUAAUGCCUUUCUUCAUGGGGAUCUCCAUGAAGAGGUGUAUAUGGAGAUACCACAGGUCUAGUUGUGAACUCACCAGGCUUAGUGUGCAAGUUGAACAAGUCCCUGUAUGGGCUCAAACAAGCAAGUAGACAAUGGUAUGAGAAAUUAACUGAAGCCUUGUGUUCAAGGGGUACACUCAUUCAAUGCUUGAUUAUUCUUUAUUCUAUAAAAAGAGUGAAGUCUCAGUAGUGUUUGUAGCUGUGUAUGUAGAUGAUGUUCUUGUUACUGGUACCCAUCUGCAAGAGAUUGAGUCCCUGAAAACCUUUCUACACAAUACCUUUAAGAUAAAGGACCUAGGGAGACUUCAUUACUUCCUAGGACUAGAAGUUCAAUACACAGAGAAAGGGGUCCUGAUAUCACAAAGAAAAUUCACUAUUGAUCUUUUGAAAGAAUUUGGAUGUAUAGAUUGUCCCUCUAUGACCUCUCCUAUGGAUCCCUUUGUGAAAUUAAAGGCUGAUGAGGGAGCUUCACUACCUGAUCCUUCUUAUUAUAGGAAGUUGAUUGGCAAACUUAACUUUCUCACCAACACCAGAUUGGAUAUUGCAUAUAGUGUACAACAUCUCAGUCAAUUCAUGCAAAGUCCCAGGGAACCCCAUUUGAAGGCAACAUACCAUAUCCUAAGAUACUUAAAAAGUGAUCCAUACUUGGGCAUCUUCCUCAACAACACUGCAGAUUAUGGAGUGAAGGCAUUCUGUGAUUCAGAUUGGGCCACCUGCUCCCAAUCAAGAAAAUUAGUUAGUGGGUACAUUGUGCUGUUUGGUACCAGUCCUAUUAGCUGGAGGUCUAAGAAGCAGUCUACUGUUUCACUAUCAUCUGCAGAAGCUGAAUAUAGGUUAGCUAGAAUGGUGGUUAGUGAACUUGUAUGGUUGGCAAGACUUCUAAAUGAACUUACUAUUCCAUUUGUCCUUGCCUAUCCCCAUCUUCUGUGAUAGCCAAGCUGCUUUACACAUAGCAAGAAACCCUGUGUUUCAUGAAUGAACAAAACAUAUCGAAGUGGAUUGUCAUUUUGUGAAAGAUCAACUACAGGAAAGACUAAUUUCUCUUCAUCAUGUUUCUACUAAUGACCAGCUAGCUGACAUCUUGACCAAGUCUUUUUAACAGGGAUCAAUCAUGCCACACUUCUUAGCAAGUUGGAUGUGAGGUCCUCCCCUCCAACUUGAGGGGGGGGGGGGGUGUUGAGAUUAUUUAUUAUUUCAUUCUUUCAUACUUGUAUUUUGUAUUAGCCAUUAGGUAAUUAGUUAGUGUUGAGUAAUUGUACAACUACUAUGAAUAGGACAUUAACUUUGUAUUUCUUUUUUUUUCCAAUGAGUUACAAU